CAUUUUGGCCAAUGGGGGAAACCCUGAUCCAGCCAUGCCGCGUGUACGAUGAAGGCCUUCGGGUUGUAAAGCACUUUUGUCAGCGAAGAACAGGUACCUCCUACUACGAGUACAGCUGCCGCUAUCUGCAGGAUAAGCACCGUCUAACUACGUUCGAGCAGCCGCGGUAAUACGUAGGGUGCAAGCGUUAAUCGGAAUUACUGGGCGUAAAGCGUGUGUAGGCGGUUCGGAAAGAAAGAUGUGAAAUCCCAGGGCUCAACCUUGGAACUGCAUUUUUAACUGCCGGGCUAGAGUAUGUCAGAGGGGGGUAGAAUUCCACGUGUAGCAGUGAAAUGCGUAGAUAUGUGGAGGAAUACCGAUGGCGAAGGCAGCCCCCUGGGAUAAUACUGACGCUCAGACACGAAAGCGUGGGGAGCAAACAG
Molecule: ribosomal RNA, 422 nt
Filed under: uncultured bacterium
Lineage: Bacteria
Description: partial 16S ribosomal RNA
Rfam family: Bacterial small subunit ribosomal RNA
Source: RNAcentral